This 107-nucleotide small nuclear RNA is filed under the name Prolemur simus (greater bamboo lemur). Lineage: Eukaryota; Metazoa; Chordata; Mammalia; Primates; Lemuridae. The record is from RNAcentral.
GCGCUGGCUUUGGCAGCACAUGUACUAAAACUGGAACGAUACAGAGAAGAUUAGCAUGGCCCCUGUGCAAGGAUGACACUAAUUAAUAAAAAAAAAAAAAAAAAAAA